This 492-nucleotide ribosomal RNA is filed under the name uncultured bacterium. RNAcentral describes it as "partial 16S ribosomal RNA". It matches the Rfam family "Bacterial small subunit ribosomal RNA", at positions 29 to 507 of the family's 1533-position model. The record is from RNAcentral.
AGUGAACGCUGGCGGUAGGCCUAACACAUGCAAGUCGAACGGCAGCACAGUAAGAGCUUGCUCUUACGGGUGGCGAGUGGCGGACGGGUGAGGAAUACAUCGGAAUCUACUUUUUCGUGGGGGAUAACGUAGGGAAACUUACUCUAAUACCGCAUACGACCUACGGGUGAAAGCAGGGGAUCUUCGGACCUUGCGCGAUUGAAUGAGCCGAUGUCGGAUUAGCUAGUUGGCGGGGUAAAGGCCCACCAAGGCGACGAUCCGUAGCUGGUCUGAGAGGAUGAUCAGCCACACUGGAACUGAGACACGGUCCAGACUCCUACGGGAGGCAGCAGUGGGGAAUAUUGGACAAAGGGCGCAAGCCUGAUCCAGCCAUACCGCGUGGGUGAAGAAGGCCUUCGGGUUGUAAAGCCCUUUUGUUGGGAAAGAAAAGCAGCAGGUUAAUACCCCGCUGUUCUGACGGUACCCAAAGAAUAAGCACCGGCUAACUUCGUG